Molecule: ribosomal RNA, 292 nt
Filed under: uncultured bacterium
Lineage: Bacteria
Description: partial 16S ribosomal RNA
Rfam family: Bacterial small subunit ribosomal RNA
Source: RNAcentral
GUGCCAGCCGCCGCGGUAAUACGGAGGGUGCAAGCGUUGUCCGGAAUCACUGGGCGUAAAGGGUGCGCAGGCGGAUGAUUAAGUCAGUGGUGAAAGCCCACAGCUCAACUGUGGAACUGCCAUUGAUACUGGUUAUCUUGAGUAUAGAUGAGGCAGGCGGAAUUUACGAUGUAGCGGUGAAAUGCAUAGAUAUCGUAAAGAACACCUAUAGCGAAGGCAGCUUGCUAAACUAUAACUGACGCUGAGGCACGAAAGCAUGGGGAGCGAACAGGAUUAGAAACCCUAGUAGUCC